RNAcentral lists this ribosomal RNA (497 nucleotides) under uncultured bacterium. RNAcentral's name for it is "partial 16S ribosomal RNA". It matches the Rfam family "Bacterial small subunit ribosomal RNA", at positions 28 to 507 of the family's 1533-position model. The record is from RNAcentral.
GAUGAACGCUGGCGGCGUGCCUAAUACAUGCAAGUCGAGCGAACGGACGAGAAGCUUGCUUCUCUGAUGUUAGCGGCGGACGGGUGAGUAACACGUGGAUAACCUACCUAUAAGACUGGGAUAACUUCGGGAAACCGGAGCUAAUACCGGAUGAUAUUUUGAACCGCAUGGUUCAAAAGUGAAAGACGGUCUUGCUGUCACUUAUAGAUGGAUCCGCGCUGCAUCAGCUAGUUGGUAAGGUAACGGCUUACCAAGGCAACGAUGCAUAGCCGACCUGAGAGGGUGAUCGGCCACACUGGAACUGAGACACGGUCCAGACUCCUACGGGAGGCAGCAGUAGGGAAUCUUCCGCAAUGGUCGAAAGCCUGACGGAGCAACGCCGCGUGAGUGAUGAAGGUCUUCGGAUCGUAAAACUCUGUUAUUAGGGAAGAACAUAUGUGUAAGUAACUGUGCACAUCUUGACGGUACCUAAUCAGAAAGCCACGGCUAACUACGUG